Sinocyclocheilus rhinocerous is the source of this 95-nucleotide long non-coding RNA. RefSeq lists it as uncharacterized. The record is from RefSeq and is a predicted model, not a curated record. NCBI's taxonomy places the organism in Eukaryota, Metazoa, Chordata, Actinopteri, Cypriniformes, Cyprinidae. The transcript is spliced from 3 exons.
GACACUGAAUAGGGGAAUAGAUUUUGAACAAUAACGUAUAAACCUUUAAAAACAGACCUGCUGUAAGCUACAAGAUUGUUAAUCGAUGGCACAUG